CGUCUAUAUACGUAUAGCAUAUCAAUAAGCGGAGGAAAAGAAACUAACAAGGAUUCCCUUAGUAACGGCGAGUGAAGCGGGAAGAGCUCAAAUUUGAAAUCUUCAAGGUUCUACCUUGACGAAUUGUAGUUUAUAGAAGUGUUUUCUGUUAGUGGAGUGGCAAAAGUUCUUUGGAAUAGGACAUCAUAGAGGGUGAGAAUCCCGUAUUUGGUCAUUCCUCCUAGCGUUGUGAUACACUUUCAACGAGUCGGAUUGUUUGGGAAUGCAGUCCAAAAUGGGUGGUAAAUUUCAUCUAAAGCUAAAUAUUGGCGAGAGACCGAUAGCGAACAAGUACCGUGAGGGAAAGAUGAAAAGAACUUUGAAAAGAGAGUUAAACAGUACGUGAAAUUGUCAAAAGGGAAGCGUUUGACACCAGUGUUGUUUUUCCGAAAAUCAAUUACGAAUGUUUUAUUUUUGAGGAGUUAUGACUUCAUCGGCUUGCUUCUUUCUUUACUGAAACUUUCUUAAUGCACUUUUCGGUUAACAAGUCAACAUCAAUUUCUUUUGUUGUAAAAGGGUAUGAGGAAGGUGGCUUUCUUUUCGGAGAAAGUGUUUAUAGCCUUGUGCCUCUGCAAUCGGAGAGAUUGAGGUCUGCAGCGUAGAUCCUUCGGGGUUAGAUACGUUUGUGCUAAGUUAUAGCUUUUCAUAGACAACUUGUUGACUAUGUUUAGUCUUGUAGCUUACUCGCUGACGCUAUUUUACCUACGCUUAGGAUGUUGACUGAUAUGUAGUCGUA
Molecule: ribosomal RNA, 775 nt
Filed under: uncultured Neocallimastigales
Lineage: Eukaryota; Fungi; Neocallimastigomycota; Neocallimastigomycetes; Neocallimastigales
Description: partial large subunit ribosomal RNA
Rfam family: Eukaryotic large subunit ribosomal RNA
Source: RNAcentral